Molecule: ribosomal RNA, 303 nt
Filed under: uncultured bacterium
Lineage: Bacteria
Description: partial 16S ribosomal RNA
Rfam family: Bacterial small subunit ribosomal RNA
Source: RNAcentral
AGCAGUAGCCGCGGUAAUACAGAGGGUGCGAGCGUUAAUCGGAUUUACUGGGCGUAAAGCGUGCGUAGGCGGCUUCUUAAGUCGGAUGUGAAAUCCCUGAGCUUAACUUAGGAAUUGCAUUCGAUACUGGGAAGCUAGAGUAUGGGAGAGGAUGGUAGAAUUCCAGGUGUAGCGGUGAAAUGCGUAGAGAUCUGGAGGAAUACCGAUGGCGAAGGCAGCCAUCUGGCCUAAUACUGACGCUUAGGUACGAAAGCAUGGGGAGCAAACAGGAUUAGAUACCCGAGUAGUCCCUGUCUCUUAUAC